RNAcentral lists this ribosomal RNA (301 nucleotides) under uncultured bacterium. RNAcentral's name for it is "partial 16S ribosomal RNA". It matches the Rfam family "Bacterial small subunit ribosomal RNA", at positions 509 to 808 of the family's 1533-position model. The record is from RNAcentral.
CAGCAGCCGCGGUAAUACGUAGGUGGCGAGCGUUGUCCGGAAUUAUUGGGCGUAAAGCGCGCGCAGGCGGUUUCUUAAGUCUGAUGUGAAAGCCCCCGGCUUAACUGGGGAGGGUCAUUGGAAACUGGGAGACUUAGAGUGCAGAAGAGGAGAGUGGAAUUCCAUGUGUAGCGGUGAAAUGCGUAGAUAUAUGGAGGAACACCAGUGGCGAAGGCGACUCUCUGGUCUGUAACUGACGCUGAGGCGCGAAAGCGUGGGGAGCAAACAGGAUUAGAUACCCCAGUAGUCCCUGUCUCUUAUA